GGGCAGAGGCAAGGAGAGGGAGCUUGGACCGAGGGGAAUCCAAGCAGAAACUUGGGAGAGAAACGGUGUGAGGGGUAUUCAGGAUAGUGGAUUAGGAGCUCCAGGAGAGCUUGAGUCAGAUUUUGUGUUGCUAGGCUGCAGCAGGCAGUGGAAGCCGCUCUCAGGCUGAUAGGUCACUUGGGUUCACAUCCUGCCCCUCACUGCCUGCGAGGCCUCAGGCGAGUUUUUGAUCUUUCUGAGCCUCUGUUUCCUCAUCCGCUGUGUGAGGGGUACUAGGAGUGGCUAUCUUGCUGGGCGUGGUGAGGACUGGACACCCUGGAGGGUGCUGGGCACAGGACAAUCACCCAGUGACUGGUGGUCUUUAUGAAUGUGUGUACACCUGCCCUCAGCUCCCAGAUGUAUAAAUAAAAGGACAGAGCUUCAGGGAACACCAGGGACCUACACUACAGUCCAGUGGGGAGCCAAGAGGAACACGAAGAGCUGGGCCCGAAGACCAGCAUGAGACCAGAUGGGCAUGUCAGACUCUGCCCUGGAUCAGGAAAACCUUCCCAUGGGAGGUGUUGUUUUAUCCAAACCCGAAGGGCCAUAGAAUUUAAUAAAGAAACAUAACAUCAAUAGCAA
Phyllostomus discolor (pale spear-nosed bat) is the source of this 621-nucleotide long non-coding RNA. RefSeq lists it as uncharacterized. The record is from RefSeq and is a predicted model, not a curated record. NCBI's taxonomy places the organism in Eukaryota, Metazoa, Chordata, Mammalia, Chiroptera, Phyllostomidae. The transcript is spliced from 2 exons.